RNA transcript from Symphalangus syndactylus (siamang), 3614 nucleotides. It is a transcript of the gene named tubulin beta-3 chain-like, with no coding region annotated. Lineage: Eukaryota; Metazoa; Chordata; Mammalia; Primates; Hylobatidae. The record is from RefSeq and is a predicted model, not a curated record.
CGUUGGACACUUUCACGCUCUGCCCUGGCCGGAAGCCCCCUCACCAACUCCUGCAGGGUUCACUCAGUUUCCAGAACUUUAAUUAUUGGAAAAUUCUCCCUGGUCCAGCCCCCGAAUCUCCCGUGAACGUUGACAGCUGAGUUGCUGCUCCAUGCAUGCUUUGGCUGAGAGCAGAGGGAGCCCCUGUCCUCACUGAGCUGCUGCCGUGCGGAGGGGUGAAGGGUGGGGCCAUCCAUGGCCAGUCACUGAGGCAGAGGAGCCUCUGGAGAGGGCAGGUCCUGGGGAAGCUCCGGACUCCCAGAGGGGCCAGGUGGGGGCCCUGGUGACCAGGACAGACUGUGGUGUUUUUUAACGUAAAGGAGAUAUGCUGUGUGAGGGACCCCCUGUGUACUGCGUGCCGCCUGGUGGCAGGCUGGGCCAUGGUAGGUGCUCACGCCCCCGGCAUGUGCCCGUCAUGUGGCCGCCCUCCAUGGGAGGGGCUGCGAGGAUGACUUUUAAAAAUGCAGAGAAAGGCUCCAUUCUUCCCAGGACCUCAGCGGAACCCUGGCCCAGGGAGGCAGGAGACAGAGGCCAGGAGGGGUCCAGAGGUGUGGAAAUGUCCUGGGGACCUGAGCAGCAGCCACCGGGGAAGAGGCAGGGAGGGAGCUGAGGACCAGGCUUGUCCACAUUGGUUGUGAGAAUCCCUGAGCCCAGGGGGUUGAUUCCAGGAGGUGUCUGGAUUGGCUGGGCCAUGCCUGGGCUGACCUGUCCAGCCAGGGAGAGGGUGUGAGGGCAGAUCUGGGGGUGCCCAGGUGGAAGGAGGCAGGCAUGGGGGACACCCAAGGCCCCCUGGCAGCACCACGAGCUAAGCAGGACACCUGGAGGGGGGAACUGUGGGGACCUGGAGGCCUCCAACGACCUCUUCCUGCUUCCUGGACAGGAUUAUGGCUGUGCAGGGAUUUCAGAGAAGACUCCUGGGCUCCCUCAACGCCAACCCCACAGCCAUCCCCCAGCUGGGGCUGGCUGCCAACCAGACAGGAGCCCGGUGCCUGGAGGUGUCCAUCCCUGACGGGCUCUUCCUCAGCCUGGGGCUGGUGAGCUUGGUGGAGAACAUGCUGGUGGUGGCCACCAUCGCCAAGAACCGGAACCUGCACUCACCCACGUACUGCUUCAUCUGCUGCCUGGCCCUGUCGGACCUGCUGGUGAGCGGGGGCAAUGUGCUGGAGACGCUCGUCAUCCUCCUGCUGGAGGCCAGUGCACUGGUGGCCCGGGCUGCCGUGGUGCAGCAGCUGGACAAUGUCAUUGACGUGAUCACCUGCAGCUCCAUGGUGUCCAGCCUCUGCUUCCUGGGCGCCAUCGCCGUGGACCGCUACGUCUCCAUCUUCUACGCGCUGCGCUACCACAGCAUCGUGACACUGCCGCGGGCGCGGCAAGCCAUUGCGGCCAUCUGGGUGGCCAGCGUCCUCUUCAGCACUCUCUUCAUUGCCUACUACGACCACGCGGCUGUCCUGCUGUGCCUUGUGGUCUUCUUCCUGGCCAUGCUGGUGCUCAUGGCCGUGCUGUACGUCCACAUGCUGGCCCGGGCCUGCCAGCACGCCCAGGGCAUUGCCCGGCUCCACAAGAGGCAGCGCCCGCUCCACCAGGGCUUCGGCCUGAAAGGCGCUGUCACCCUCACCAUCCUGCUGGGCAUUUUCUUCCUCUGCUGGGGCCCCUUCUUCCUGCAUCUCACACUCAUUGUCCUCUGCCCCCAGCACCCCACGUGCAGCUGCAUCUUCAAGAACUUCAGCCUCUUUCUCACCCUCAUCAUCUGCAAUGCCAUCAUCGACCCCCUCAUCUACGCCUUCCGCAGGCAGGAGCUCCGCAGGACGCUCAAGGAGGUGCUGACGUGCUCCUGCUCUCAGGACCUGUGCCCUCGUCAGCUGGGAUGUGAAGUCUCUGGGUGGAAGAGUGUGCCAAUAGCUACUCCCAUGGCAGCCCCAGGGGAAGGGGCUUUGUGACCAGAAAGCUUCAUCCACAGCCCUGCAGCGGCUCCCGCAAAAAGAAUUCUGGGAAGUCAUCAGUGAUGAGCACGGCAUCGACCCCAGCGGCAACUACGUGGGCGACUCGGACUUGCAGCUGGAGCGGAUCAGUGUCUACUACAAUGAGGCCUCUUCUCACAAGUACGUGCCUCGGGCCAUUCUGGUUGACCUGGAACCUGGAACCAUGGACAGUGUCCGCUCAGGGGCCUUCGGACAUCUUUUCCGGCCUGACAAUUUCAUCUUUGGUCAGAGUGGGGCCGGCAACAACUGGGCCAAGGGUCACUACACGGAGGGUGCGGAGCUGGUGGAUUCCGUUCUGGACGUCGUGCGGAAGGAGUGUGAAAACUGCGACUGCCUGCAGGGCUUCCAGCUGACCCACUCCCUGGGGGGCGGCACGGGCUCCGGCAUGGGCACGCUGCUCAUCAGCAAGGUGCGUGAGGAGUAUCCCGACCGCAUCAUGAACACCUUCAGCGUCGUGCCCUCGCCCAAAGUGUCAGACACGGUGGUGGAGCCCUACAACGCCACGCUGUCCAUCCACCAGCUGGUGGAGAAUACGGAUGAGACCUACUGCAUCGACAACGAGGCUCUCUACGACAUCUGCUUCCGCACCCUCAAGCUGGCCACACCCACCUACGGGGACCUCAACCACCUGGUGUCGGCCACCAUGAGCGGGGUCACCACCUCCUUGCGCUUCCCGGGCCAGCUCAACGCUGACCUGCGCAAGCUGGCCGUCAACAUGGUGCCCUUCCCCCGUCUGCACUUCUUCAUGCCCGGCUUCGCCCCCCUCACAGCCCGGGGCAGCCAGCAGUACCGGGCCCUGACCGUGCCCGAGCUCACCCAGCAGAUGUUUGAUGCCAAGAACAUGAUGGCCGCCUGCGACCCACGCCACGGCCGCUACCUGACGGUGGCCACCGUGUUCCGGGGCCGCAUGUCCAUGAAGGAGGUGGACGAGCAGAUGCUGGCCAUCCAGAGCAAGAACAGCAGCUACUUCGUGGAGUGGAUCCCCAACAACGUGAAGGUGGCCGUGUGUGACAUCCCGCCCCGCGGCCUCAAGAUGUCCUCCACCUUCAUCGGCAACAGCACGGCCAUCCAGGAGCUGUUCAAGCGCAUCUCGGAGCAGUUCACGGCCAUGUUCCGGCGCAAGGCCUUCCUGCACUGGUACACGGGCGAGGGCAUGGACGAGAUGGAGUUCACUGAGGCCGAGAGCAACAUGAACGACCUGGUGUCCGAGUACCAGCAGUACCAGGACGCCACGGCCGAGGAGGAGGGCGAGAUGUACGAAGACGACGAGGAGGAGUCGGAGGCCCAGGGCCCCAAGUGAAGCUGCCUGCAGCUGGAGUGAGAGGCGGGUGGCGGCCGGGGCCAAGGCCAGCGGUGUCUGACCCCCAGAGCCAUGUUGCUGCCGACUCCGUACCCUGCUUUCCCCUCGCCCUAGGGCUCCCUUGCCGCCCUCCUGCGUAUUUAUGGCCUCGUCCUCCCCCCCUAGGCCACGUGUGAGCUGCUCCUGUCUCUGUCUUACUGCAGCUCCAGGCCUGACGUUUUACGGUUUUGUUUUUUACUGGCUUGUGUUUAUAUUUUCGGGGAUACUUAAUAAAUCUAUUGCUGUCAGAUACCCUU